Long non-coding RNA from Aedes aegypti (yellow fever mosquito), 1291 nucleotides. RefSeq lists it as uncharacterized. The record is from RefSeq and is a predicted model, not a curated record. The transcript has 3 exons. NCBI's taxonomy places the organism in Eukaryota, Metazoa, Arthropoda, Insecta, Diptera, Culicidae.
AGCUUGUUGGCGCUGCCACAAUUUCCCCAGGUCUGUCCGAACCUGCCAGUAAGCCCCUAUAUCCAAUUCCAACUCUCCCAAAAACAUAUGGACAGCCUUACUGGCACGGUAAACCUAGCUGUCCAUGCUUAAAAAGAUCCGACAACGUCAUUUCCUCAAUUAGCAUAUGUAACAAUCUUUCUAACUGGUAUUUUCUGACAGUGGUUUGAGUAAGUCCGACAACCGUUACGAGUUGUGUCGGCCCAAUUGCUACCCUGCGCAGAAUGGUUGACAAUCCGACGAAGUGUCAAACUUCGGCACUUCGUCAUCGUUCUUAUUGGAUCGAGUGGUGGUAAUAUAAGACGAAUCAAGGGGAUUCGUCCUUCUUUGCCGUUUGACUUUUGAAGAAAAUAGUAGUGCGCGCCCGUAAAGUGUCCUAGCUAAAAAAAGUAAGGUUACAAAUUAUAGUAACCAUGUGGUGUAUAUAAUAGUUUGUGCUUUUUUUUCUAGUUUGCCCUAAAUUACGAUUAGUAUCGAAUGUUAGUAGUUCAAAUUAGUGGUAUAAAAGUGUUAGUACGUUGUGAACAAGCAGUUAAACACGAAAACGAACAUCUAUAACAAUUACCAACUUAUAACAAAGAAAAGGUCCGAAAUCGGGCCUUUUCUUUUUGCGUUUCCUCGCGUGGUUUAUCCCGGAGGAACUUCUUUCAUCCGCAGUGAAGCCAAAGGACCAGUUUGGAGUGUAGGAAAGUUGGUUGGUGUGCCGAUAACCAGCUUAGUUCCGCCCGCCAUCUUGGAGCGUCCGUUCCAACAAUAGCAUCGACGCCAUUUUGAAAUUUCGGCCAUUGCAACAUCUUUACGGCUUCCUUCCCGCUUUCAACGUUCGGUCAGUCGGAUUAAGACCAAACCCGACAAGGAACCCGAACGAAAGAAGCCCAGCUGGUGGGCCACAGUCCGUCCAGCAACCCUACAUUGCCACAAUCCGUCCAACAACCCUACAUUUCCACACCAGCAAGAAACAGAUUCGAAAGAAGCCCAGCUGGUGGGCCCUAGUCCAUUCAGCAAUCACGGAAUCCAGUCGAUGAAGGCCAUGCUGGUGGGCCAUAGUCCGUUCAGCAGCCAUCUCUGGGAAAUAGCUUAACGCCCUCGGUCGAGGACCGAAUACCGACCCUCUUUCGCCCGUUUUCUCGCCAACAACCCGCCCAAUUCGCCGACAUCCAGCCAAGCUAGCCACUGUUCAUCACCAUCAAGCCUCGCCAACAACCCACCAAAAGCGCAAGUACCAUGUAACCGUCUCUCCACCAUACCAAUA